RNAcentral lists this ribosomal RNA (663 nucleotides) under Triticum aestivum (bread wheat). Its description in RNAcentral is "partial small subunit ribosomal RNA". Lineage: Eukaryota; Viridiplantae; Streptophyta; Magnoliopsida; Poales; Poaceae. The record is from RNAcentral.
AUGGGUAUGGGAUGGAAAGUUAUGAACGAUGUGAAGCCAUACCUAGCGAUGGUGCUGCUGCAGGUGGGGUUCGCCGGGAUGAACAUCGUUGCCGUGUCAUCCCUCAAGGGCGGGAUGAGCCACUUCGUCCUCGUCGUCUACCGUAACAUCGUCGCCACCGCCUUCAUGGCGCCCUUCGCCCUCUAUUUCGAGAGGGAACGGAGGCCAAAGAUGACAACCACCAUCUCUACUCCUAAUUACCCAGUUGGUAGUCUCGCUUUCAGGUUUUUUAUAGUCCCACCUCCCACGGUUUAUUUUGGUACCUCCUCCCACCUCUUCCUAAAACAUCAAAAACCGAAAAAACCUCCUCCUAAGGCCCGAACCCGCACCUAUCCACGUGCGACCCUCAAUAGACGUACGAAGGUAAACCUGCGACAAAAAAGAAAACUACGACGGUUAACCAGCGACGAGUCCUGUUCUCAAGUGAGGCCUACCUUCCUGGCCGCCCUACGUAUCCCUUCGUACCCGUCCAUCCUCGCUGCCCUACGUAUCCCUUCGCUGCCCUCCAUCCUCGCCGCCCUCCAUCCUGGUCAAGGUCGCCGCCCCGCUUCACUCGCCGUCCUCCAUCCGCGUCGAUCCUGGACAAGGUCGCCGCGGCCCUCCAUCACUUCGCCGCCGCGCUGA